Molecule: long non-coding RNA, 1643 nt
Organism: Aphis gossypii (cotton aphid)
Lineage: Eukaryota; Metazoa; Arthropoda; Insecta; Hemiptera; Aphididae
Exons: 3
Source: RefSeq, a predicted model, not a curated record
GCACGUCGUAUAGUGGUUGGUGUUUAACGCACAUCGCAUUACCGUGUACGCUCUCUGUCGAUGAAUAUGAUUUUCGAACGUUCCGUCGGCGAAAAAACUAAACACUGAAAAGUGAUACGUUUUGUCGACGGGUUCGAUCGCGACGUAGAGAUUCUCUACAUAGUGGGUUCGAUCUUCAAAACGCCGUGUUACGUACCAGGGACCCAGUCGGCGGGCGCUCAUCGCCGUCGCCGCCGCCGCCGACGAGAACCGCCGCCGCCGACGACGAGAACCGCGUUUGCUGUUAUUCCCGCGCGCCGCCGGUACGCGAGUGGCAUGGGACCCUGUUCGCCCGAAAUCGUCUUUGGGACACGACGGUGGUCGUACCGACCGCUGGCCGAAGCACAACGAACGAGAGCACAGCGAACAGCAAAAUAAAUAAGAUUCGGUCAUAACGAGGCGGCGGCGGCGGCGGAACAGCACGGCGGCCGGCGCUCGCGGUCUGUCAAGUCAGCAGCGCCGCCGUGCGUGUCACAGUCAGCUGCCGCGUUCGGCGGUUGCCGAGUUGGUUUCGGCGCGGCGCACGGACAGUGCGACUAAAUAGCGAAAAAGAUUAUUUUAUCGUGUUCCGCGAUUUCGGGCGUCGCGGCCGGCGACGUGCGUAUCAGCGACAGCAGCUGCUGCCCGCGGGCGAUACGACGCGUUAUCGUCUCCAUUCCACCGCGAGCGAACGAUUCGAUAUCAGCGCGCGCGUACGACGAGUAAAUAGUGUGCUCGUGUUUUUCUUUGCAUUUUCUUUUCUGUUUUCACUGUCCCGUUGAAACGUCACCUACGACUACUUAUGAAUCAAUGGGUUUUUUUUUUUAAAAUCACUGCUCACCGAUCGGUAAUCACCGCAGAACACUGAUUACCGAUAAAACUAUGUGAACGAUAAUAAUAUUGUGAAUUUACGAAAUCAAACAGCGAAUUUGCUGAUCUGCGAUUUUGCUGUAUAAUGUUGAAUGGUUCUACACUGCAUGUGUCUAAGUUAGGAAGAGUAAAAACCUGGAGUUUAAUAUCACGACGGAACACGGAAAUAGUUGGAUUUUAAUAAAUAAAUUCCUUAAAAUUCUGGGUUGCACGAAACUGGACUAUAAAAAUUUGGAAUUGAACCAUCAUCCUUUGAUUAUUGCAGUUAGUUUAAUUGUGACCUUGACUGCCAUUCUCAAAGAUUAUUGGUUCUAUUCUAAUUGUAUAAUACACAGAAAAAUGUACAACAAAAGAGUAUAAUAUUGAAUGGUUUUGCGUUACAUGUUGUAUAAGUUGGGAAGAGUAAAAUCCUGGAGUUUAAUAUCAGGACGGAAAUAGCUUGGUUUAAUAAAUAAAUUCCUUAAAAUUCAAGGCUGCACGAAACUGAACUAUAAAAAUUUGGAAUUGAACUAUCUGUCUUUGAGUGUUGCAGUUAGUUUAAUUGUGACCUUAACUGCCAUUCUCAAAGGUUAUUGGUUCUGUCCUAAUUGUAUAAUAGACAGAAAAAUAAAAUAUCACAUCUUAAGUACGAAAUAAGUUUUAUUUUAUUUUAUAAUAUGUACAUUGUACAUACAUAUAUUAUAUGGUAGGGGUGACCAUAAUAAUGUGUUCGCUAUCUAAACUGACAUAUACAAUUAUGCCAAGAGCACAAAUGC